GAUGAACGCUGGCGGCGUGCCUAACACAUGCAAGUCGAGCGAGGGUUUGCUCAGUAUUGAGUAUUCUAAGACUAGAAUGUUCAAUUCUGAGCAAAACCAAGCGGCGGACGGGUGAGUAACGCGUGGGUAACCUGCCCUAUACACAUGGAUAACAUACUGAAAAGUUUACUAAUACAUGAUAAUAUAUAUUUGCGGCAUCGCAGAUAUAUCAAAGUGUUAGCGGUAUAGGAUGGACCCGCGUCCCAUUAGCUAGUUGGAGAGGUAACGGCUCACCAAGGCGAUGAUGGGUAGCCGACCUGAGAGGGUGAUCGGCCACACUGGGACUGAGACACGGCCCAGACUCCUACGGGAGGCAGCAGUAGGGAAUCUUCCGCAAUGGGCGAAAGCCUGACGGAGCAACGCCGCGUGAGUGAAGAAGGAUUUCGGUUCGUAAAGCUCUGUUGUUAGGGAAGAAUGAUUGUGUAGUAACUAUACACAGUAGAGACGGUACCUAACCAGAAAGCCACGGCUAACUACGUGCCAGCAGCCGCGGUAAUACGUAGGUGGCAAGCGUUGUCCGGAAUUAUUGGGCGUAAAGCGCGCGCAGGUGGUUUAAUAAGUCUGAUGUGAAAGCCCACGGCUCAACCGUGGAGGGUCAUUGGAAACUGUUAAACUUGAGUGCAGGAGAGAAAAGUGGAAUUCCUAGUGUAGCGGUGAAAUGCGUAGAGAUUAGGAGGAACACCAGUGGCGAAGGCGGCUUUUUGGCCUGUAACUGACACUGAGGCGCGAAAGCGUGGGGAGCAAACAGG
RNAcentral lists this ribosomal RNA (788 nucleotides) under Hoylesella nanceiensis. RNAcentral describes it as "bacterial SSU rRNA". It matches the Rfam family "Bacterial small subunit ribosomal RNA", at positions 28 to 776 of the family's 1533-position model. Lineage: Bacteria; Pseudomonadati; Bacteroidota; Bacteroidia; Bacteroidales; Prevotellaceae. The record is from RNAcentral.